Molecule: long non-coding RNA, 1240 nt
Filed under: Olea europaea subsp. europaea
Lineage: Eukaryota; Viridiplantae; Streptophyta; Magnoliopsida; Lamiales; Oleaceae
Source: RNAcentral
GUCGAACAUCAUUUGUAAUGACACAUUCCAUAUGAACUACAAAUUUUAUCUUCUUUUAGCCCACAUUAGUUGGGACCUACUGCUUAUAAGCACUUAAAAGCUUAACCAAGCAAUUUGCAGAUCGUUGUAUAAGAAAAGGUCUUGGUUAAUUUCACUAGGAUUUGUAUUAAACUUUUUGGGGUGUUUCUCAACGACAUAACUCACAGAAUAUUACUCAUUGUUUACCUUAGGCAAGAAUCAUCCAUAGAGGCAAUUUAACAGCAUUUCACACAGGUAGUAUUGAAUAAUUUAUCAGCUUUUAGUGUGAGCAAUAUUGUGUUUUUGUGAUCCUGGAGCAUUGUGAGGAUAUUCUAACAGGUCUAGAUUAUAUAUGUUUGGUAUAUAUAAACAGCUAUAACAUAGUUUCUCCUUUUUGUAAUAAUGACUACCCUACGAGGAAUGGUUUUGGUAAUUUAUGGGGGUGAUAAUAAUUUAGUAACCAUCUUUGUAGCUCCACAAUAUUUCAAUUUAUGUUCCUGCCUAUUAUUAGGAAAUAUGAAUAAAGAUGUACAGUGUAAUGAGGGUACAAUGAAAUAUUUAUUCACGAGUGGGGCGAGCUCUUCUACGGUGGUUUAUGGUUUCUCUUGGCUAUACGGUUGAUCUGCGGGGAGAGAUCAAGUUUCAAGAAACAGUGAAUGGCGACGCUAGCAGGCAGGCAUAAGACUCUUAUCUUAAUGAAUGUGAACUCCAUUAUCAAACAAACAGAGAGGCAUAUGAUUUUUUGACAUAGAUUAAUAAAGGUAAAAGACCUUCUACAGGACACAAGAUUUUAACUAUCUUCUUUAAUCCAAUCGAGUGCAGUCCAAUCAAAUAUACCAGACAUACCAAUAGAGAUCAUAAAGAUUACCUCGCACGUAGUACAAAACGACAACCUCAUCUAAAAGAUUAAUUGUUUAACACAAUGCAAUUUAUUAAUUUAUAUUUGUAGACGCUUCCAACAAAUAUAUGACAACCAAGAUGAUGAAUAUUUCAGCUUUACCAACAGAAAAUCGUCAUACCAAAUAUUUAAAAAUUUCUAGCAACAAUGUUUUCAAGAAUCAGGCAAAACAGAUAGAAAUUUGUAUUAAAAGAAUAUUACAAUUCACAUCAAUUUAUGUUAACAUGAGAAUUCUCUAAAGCAAAGCAUAUUUCUUUGGACCAUUAUACGCAAAAUCAUAAACAAGUCAUCAGUAAUUUAUGUGACAAAUUACUCAUAAACUAG